Small nuclear RNA from Chrysoperla carnea, 131 nucleotides. RefSeq annotates it as U11 spliceosomal RNA. The record is from RefSeq and is a predicted model, not a curated record. Lineage: Eukaryota; Metazoa; Arthropoda; Insecta; Neuroptera; Chrysopidae. The transcript has a single exon.
AAAAAGGGUGUUUGCUACUUUCAUAGCACACUGGUUCUCCAGUCCGGUGGGGUAUGGAUAUCAAGACAUACCCAGCACAAAAUUUUUGACUGUUUGGGGCAGUUUUACAACCUUUCGUUUGAGACGCCCCC